AUGGCUUACCAAAUCCAGCUACUAUUUGCCCACCUAUACCUGGCACUGAUAGCUAUCCUGUUGCUUCCCAUGGUGUCUGGCGACUGGAGUGGCUCUGACCAGCUCCGCCUAAGAUGUGGCGCCACCAGCAGUGCCACUGAUUCUGAUGAUCGAACAUGGGAUGGCGACGCUAACUUCAGGAAGGUACCUCUUCCUGGCUUUUCAGCUAAUGCGUCAUACCUAGACCCCUCGCUUCCUUCCGCAGUACCUUACAUGAAUGCUCGCAUCCUCAGUUCGAAUUUCACAUAUUUUCUUAGGGCUGGCCCUGGCGGCAUGUUCCUUCGGCUCUAUUUCUAUCCAACUUCUUAUGGUAAACAUUCAGCUGUGGAUGCUUCGUUUAGUGUCACUGCAGGACUCCAUCGUCUUCUGAGUCACUUUAAUCCUUCCCAGACUGCUCAGGCCAUGGGUCGCACUUACCUCAUCCGUGAAUACUCCUUGAAUAUUACUUCACGUGGACUUAACCUCACAUUUUCCCCAUCACCAAACCACACUGGGUCUUAUGCAUUUGUGAAUGGCAUUGAGAUUGUGCCCACCCCGGACAUUUUCACGAUACCAGUGCCAAGAUUUGUGAAUGGUGGGUUCCCAGAUCUAAUCCCGAUUUCCUCUAGCAUAGGCCUUGAAACAAUGUACCGCCUUAAUGUUGGGGGUUCGACACACUCUGCAUAUUAUGACCCUGCCUCCUACCGUUCAUGGGAAGAUGACUCCCCCUAUAUUUAUGGAUCUUCACGUGGCAUGGCUUUUUCCAAAGAUAGCAGUGUCACAAUCAGUUACCCGCUUAGUAUGUCGGGGUGCAUAGCACCGCUCAACGUCUAUUGGACAGCAAGAUCUAUGGGGAUAAAUGCACAUAUCAACAUGACGUACAAUCUUACAUGGAUUUUGCCAGUCGAUGCAGGGUUUUACUACCUUUUGAGGUUCCAUUUCUGUGAGAUAGGGUAUGAAGUAACCAAGGUAAACCAGAGGAAUUUCUUCAUAUACAUUAACAACCAGACAGCAGUGCAGAUGGAUGUCAUUCUCUCGAGCGGAGGAACUGGUAUACCAGUUUACACCAACUACAUCAUUGUCACAGUUGGUCAUGGUCAGACAGAUCUGUGGGUAGCACUCCACCCUGAUCUCAGUACCCUUCCAGAAUAUUAUGAUGCAAUUCUGAAUGGACUGGAGGUCUUCAAGCUGCAGGAUAACAGCAACAACAAUCUUGCUGGCGUCAACCUUACGCUCAAGAAAAAUCAUGAUGGGACAGAAUCUCAUGGUCAAAAUAAAACAUAUAAAUCCUCCAAAUGGACACAGAGAAUCCCAGCAAUCGCUGGAGGUGGAGCUGCUGUUGGUUUCUUGGCCCUGUUGGUUGCAUGUUUCUGUGUUAUGCACAGACGAAAGAGAACUAACUGCAAUCCUCCAAAUGGACACAGAGAAUUGCCAUUAACCACCUCACACACAACGGAUUUGAAGCUUUGCCACCACUUCUCGUUUAUACAAAUCCAGGAAGCCACCAACAACUUCGAUGAGGCCUUUCUCCUAGGCAAAGGUGGGUUUGGGAGUGUAUACCACGGUCAGAUAGCUGGUGGGAAGAAGGUGGCAAUCAAGCGUGGUAACCCGCUGUCCAGGCAGGGCAUCCAAGAAUUUUGGAAUGAAAUCAAUAUGUUAACCGAUCUCCGGCAUCGCCACCUUGUGUCACUAAUUGGCUAUUGCGAUGAGGAGUCCGAGAUGAUUUUGUUGUACGAUUACAUGGCCAAUGGGACACUUCAGGAGCACCUGUACAACACCAACAAACCACCAUUGCCAUGGGAGCACCGCCUUGUCAUAUGCAUUGGAGCCGGACUGGGGCUGCACUACCUGCACAUGGGUGCAAAACAGGCCAUCAUCCACCGUGAUGUGAAGAGUACUAACAUUUUGUUGGAUGACAAGUGGGUGGCAAAGGUUUCGGACUUUGGGUUGUCUAAGGCUAGUAAAGACGUGGACAAUACCCAUGUGAGCACUGCUGUGAAAGGCACCUUUGGAUAUCUAGAUCCUGAGUACUUCCGCAGGCAGCGACUCACCAACAAAUCAGAUGUAUACUCCUUUGGGGUUGUUUUGUUUGAGGUUCUGUGCGCACGUCCAGCAAUUGACCCUGAGCUUCCCGAGGAGCAAGUGGGCUUGCGUGAUUGGGCGCUGUCUUGCCAGAGGAAAGGUGUGCUUGGUGAGAUCAUCGACCCCUAUCUGAAGGGCAAAAUCACGCCCCAGUGCUUCAGAAAAUUUGCAGAGACUGCGGAGAAAUGUGUUGCUGAACGUAGCAUAGAUAGGCCAUCUAUGAGUGAUGUUCUGUGGAGCCUCCACAUCGCACUGCAGCUGCAUGAGGAUGACUGCAAUCUCUCCAAGGGGACACCAUUGUUGAACAUGUCAUCACUCAUGGCGACCAGAGUGCGACCAUCUUCAGGUUCAGCAAUGAGCAUCUCAGGACAGAAAGUUGUAUUCUCAGAGAUCAUGCAUCCAGAUGGCCGAUAA
This 2514-nucleotide ribosomal RNA is filed under the name Triticum aestivum (bread wheat). RNAcentral describes it as "partial small subunit ribosomal RNA". The record is from RNAcentral. Lineage: Eukaryota; Viridiplantae; Streptophyta; Magnoliopsida; Poales; Poaceae.